UGAGAAGCCUGAAAACCCCCAUCGGAACCCUCCAGCUAUCUGUAUGUGAUUUAAGGAUGGUGCUACAAUUUAUCCAGUGUCAGAAGUAUCAAUGACAGCUGUUGGUGGACAUGCUUUGUGGGUUUUGUGUUUCCUGUUUUCUACCCACAGGAAGGCUGGGAGGUCUUGUGAGGAAGGAAGGGGAUGUCAGGGGUCAUGGAGGUGUAUCCAUGUAGCUGUCAUGUGGAACAGAGGGGCCUUGUUGUGUGGAUGUCACCAUGCAGGGUGCUACAAUCAGAGCCAGAUGGCAGCCCCUGACAGGGUCGGCAGAGAUGACAGGACCCCUUGCUGCCCCCCUGAUUACCCCCACAUGGUGCAGGUCCUCCCCUGACAUGUGACUCCCAGGAAGAGCUGUGAUCUAUGGGACAACUUUAUCUCCUCUGUGAAAUUACCUCCUCCCUACAUCCUAGAAGUAAGAAACUGGACCACACAUCAGGAAAAUGUGGUAGUAUGAUGGCAACCUACUUCAACUUGGGAUAAGCAUCAUAAGGGAGCAAGGGGAUGAGAGCUCAAAUUCCUGCCAAGCCGUAUGGAUUUCUGAACGGAGAGAAGGUUGAGCAGACUGCUAUGAUGGGCGAUAGUGAGCUGUCUCCCUAACUCAUUCAUCCCAAAUCAUGUAUCCAAGUGCUGUCCACAAAGGGCUAUUCCACUCCAGCAAAAUGGGAUAGGGCCGCUCAGAAAAGUGGUAUGAAGACUAGCCAACUGCACCCCAAAUCAAAUACAGGAUACUACAAAUGUACUACUAUUUGAUGUCACAUUGUACUGUUUUGCAUGCUGACCUUCCAACAUUAUGAUGAAAACGCAACGCGUGCAUCUGCCGUAGGAGAUAAUAACGUUUCCUGUUUAUGAAGAGCGGGUCUACGCCACACAUCACAGCUUGUGGUCAGCAUUUCCAGGUCACCGACCAACCAGAAAGGCAGCCGAAGCCUUUGAUCAAGCCCAUGUACAAACCCACAGGAGGAAGCAGUACAAAGACAACUGGUAACACAACCUUCAAAUGUUCCUUGACGACCUGUAGACAUCUCCUUCUUGAAGGUCACAUGUGCCACUGAGAACUCAGUUGUUCCACUCGGAAAGCUGGAAGGAGUGGACGGGAUGUACUUCAAUCUUUAAAUGUUGUAAGAUGCAGUUCUGUUCAACUGAACCCCAACAGACAUUCUUCCAUGCAGUAUGAAAUCCUCCUCAGGUGUAUUUGCAACGACAUUAUUCCUUCUAUUUGUACAUGUAGAACAAUUCUAAUGGAGGUUAUUUUAUUUGCCAUUUUAUAAUUCCUGGGCGCAUACUGUCCUCUAUAGCCAUUUCCAGGUAAGUUUUAAAAAAGCUGGCCAAUAAAGAUACUCUCUCUACUGGUACUUUUAUCAGAGGGAUAUUUCCUAUUAAGCCUGCCCUUAAGGGUUCCCUCUCGAGAAUCUCAUAUUUUUUCUCAGGUAACAGCCAGCAUCAUAAAGAUGUCAUUCAGAAGAAUUUGAAACAUAUAAUAUGGUUAUAUGCUCAUGCCUUAAGGGGGUUCAAGACAAAAUGUGGUGUAGUGUCAUUCUUAUAAAGGUAAUAGAUUCAAGGUUAGUUACAAGUUGUAUAUCUUUGAGUACAUCAAGAAGUUUGUAAACAUUCUAUUAGUUGGUAGGAACCUCUUUUCUCAUGAAAUUGAAGGACUACUUUUGCAAUCGAAUACAUCAAUGCUCAAUGAAAUAUCUGUUCCUUAUACAGUAUUAUUUUUAACAAAUGCUAUUUUCCUUAAUUGUCUUCCUGACAUGACAUGCUAUGUUGUAGUAAUGAACAAGAAGUUAGUUGAGAUGUGAAAUCUGAAUGAAUGAAACUGUGAAUUGCUUUACACUAAAAAAA
This is a long non-coding RNA of Branchiostoma floridae (Florida lancelet), 1881 nucleotides long. RefSeq lists it as uncharacterized. Lineage: Eukaryota; Metazoa; Chordata; Leptocardii; Amphioxiformes; Branchiostomatidae. The transcript is spliced from 10 exons. The record is from RefSeq and is a predicted model, not a curated record.